This 406-nucleotide ribosomal RNA is filed under the name uncultured Marinobacter sp. RNAcentral describes it as "bacterial SSU rRNA". It matches the Rfam family "Bacterial small subunit ribosomal RNA", at positions 1095 to 1499 of the family's 1533-position model. Lineage: Bacteria; Pseudomonadati; Pseudomonadota; Gammaproteobacteria; Pseudomonadales; Marinobacteraceae. The record is from RNAcentral.
AGCGCAACCCCUAUCCAAUAAGUUGAUAGCAGCUCGGCUGAGAACCCUAGGGAGACUACCGGUGACAAACCGGAGGAAGGUGGGGAUGACGUCAGGUCAUCAUGGCCCUUACGGCCAGGACUACACACGUGCUACAAUGGAGCGUACAGAGGGCUGCAAACCCGCGAGGGGGAGCUAAUCUCACAAAACGCAUCGUAGUCCGGAUAGGAGUAUGCAACUCGACUCCGUGAAGUCGGAAUCGCUAGUAAUCGCGAAUCAGAAUGUCGCGGUGAAUACGUUCCCGGGCCUUGUACACACCGCCCGUCACACCAUGGGAGUGGAUUGCACCAGAAGUGGUUAGUCUAACCUUCGGGAGGACGAUCACCACGGUGUGGUUCAUGACUGGGGUGAAGUCGUAACAAGGUAG